ACCGCAUUUUACAAAACUCACGAUCCGUAGGUUAGAAAGGUUUUAAUUUGGAAUUGGUUUUAUAAAUGACCGUUGGAAUUGGGAAGCCAAAAGGUUUAGGUCGGUGUAUUGGCACAUAAAAUAUUACCUUCUCCACUCUUCCUUCUUCACUUCACUCAUCCCGCUUCAUUCUUCAAACACCGUCGGAGACGACUCGUCGCGACCUCUGUAAUUCAGCUCACCGGAGACACAAGCACCCCCACCCUUCGUAAGACACUCACAACCAUAUGUUGUAGUCUCCUCUGUAUGUAUGGAUACGAGAAAAAUCGAAGCAUACUCUAGUUUUCUAACUACACAAGUUGUAUUGCGACUUAAGAACAAAAGGAAACUACAUAGUUUUUCUGUAGUUUUGUUGGCUGUUUCAUAAAAGUUUUCUUCUCUAUCUUUUUAUUGAUUUUUUUUUCACUGUAAAAUCUGAUUUAGCGUGUCUGGUACGCUUGUUUCAGAAUUUGUUCUUAUGAAUAACCAAUUUUAUCAGCACACGAUGUUUUACUCAAAUCUCUUUUUGUGGAAGAUUUAAUCACAUAAUGAUUAUUUUGUUUCUUGUUUCUCUUCUGUUGAUUUGCACUUUAGUAAUAAAAUAACUCUGGUCAAACUCUUGCAUGGUUUGAGUGUAUUAGGUUUACCAUAUUAUAGUUUGUUGGUUUGUUUUAUGAGGUUAAAUCAUGUUUUGAUUGUUUAUUAACAUUUUUACUCGAUUCUAAUCUUAUUUUAAUAUUGCCCUAACAACAAAACAACAUUGCUGUCACUGGUUAUUAUUAGGGUCGCAUAAUCUGCCACAUUUAUCAAAGUAUAGUUGGAUUCCCCAUGUUACAUGACUUUUUGAAGAUUGUAAAGCUUCCAUACGUAUUUCAGUUACUAAUUUAUGGUUAUUUGAUAGGAUAACUGGAAAAGUCAAGGCUACAGAAGUUCAAAUUGCUAAUGUUGUAUGCAUUGGAUGUUGGACAACCAAAUGUUGAGGUAUAAAUAAAUGUAUAUGCUUACAUGUUCACAACAUUCAUCACAUGUUACUAUGCUUUCCUAUUAAGUAACUCGUUUACUAGCCAAUUUAUCCAUGUAGUGUUAGCGGUUUGAUUUAAAACCUUCUAGUAGUUUUUCUCAUUCAAGUAGCUGACAAAAGAGUAGUUAAAAAAGGUUAUUACUGAUGCAGGAAACAAUGAGGUUCUUUCUGAAAAAAAAACAAUUUUAUAUAUUAGCAUGUUGUUUUUCUUUCCUACCUUUUCUAUUUUAAUCCUAAGAGCAACUUAGGGCGUCUGUGGUUCAAGGGUUCCAUAGAAAUAUGAAGGAAUUGGAAUGGAAGAUUCCUUAAGUUACACACUUGGUUGACAAAAUGGAUCGAAUUGGAUUCCAUUAAACUCCCCCAAAAUCUUUAUUCAACAUAUUUAUCAUUCCUAGGGAAGAAUUGGAAUUCCUUUAUUUACUUCUUCAUUAAAAAAAUUAAAUUUGUCCUUACAACCAAAUGUUUUUUUUUUGAAUCUUACACCUUCUUCUCUUUAUUCUCACCCCUAUUUAUCCUAAUAUACAACUCUAUAAAUGCAGAUAUUUAUAAUCAAUUGUUAUAUUAUUAAUUAGUUACCUAUCUUCAUUUUUAAUGGCAUAUUCCUUUUCUUUUAAUGUUUAUGAAAUUAAAGUAUGUUUGAUGUUUAUAUAAUUAAUGUUUGCUAGCUGUCUUAUGAGUAAAUUCUUUUCCAGUAAAUAUCUAUUAUUUUAUAAAAAAAAUGUCACUAAAGGGUGUUUUGGUCAUUUAACAUAAUUUUCAUUUCAAUUCUUUUGAAUCAUUUUCAAACCAAACACAAAACAACACAUGAAAUGAAUCGAAAUCCUUUCCAUUUUCUUUCCAAUUUGUUUGACAAAUUCCAUUCAUUAUAAAAGUAUUUUGCGAAGCACAAGUUACCUUACAUUACUCUGAGAUUAAUUGCUAUUCUUAAUUCCAAUCCAUUUGAGAAAUUCCAUUCAUUACUCUGCAACAAGAAAAGGCUUUAGAAACCAAUUACAAAACUUGGGGUUUAGAAAAGGAAAAGAAGAUGCCCCCGAGAAUCAAAGUGUUAACAUGUACACUUUUAGUUCCAUUGAAUCUCAAAUACCUUUGCUUUAUCAAAUUACUUCCUUCAAUCCAUUGAUUACAAGCUGACAAAGCAUGGAAACAACAUACAGGUGUACAGGAAAGGAUGUGCUUAUUUUCUUAAAAAGAUUAUGAAUAUUGCAUGGAAAAGUCCUUCAGCACUUAUUUAGUAUAUAUGCUUGACAUCAUGGAAGGGAAAUGCCACAUGGUGUGGUAUUUGGUGGGUUGAAAUGUUAGAAACAAGUGGUGAAUAUAAAGAGGGUGCUGGUGUUGUUUAAGGAACAUCUUUGUUCAGCUGUGAUGCUUGAACAAGGAUCUUAUUGCUGUUACCUUUUAGCCAAACUAAUUAUAUUAAGAAAGUAUGGAUUUCAUCUCAUUCUUUUUGAUGAUCUAUACAAGAAAUGCCAUCAGCUUUUCAUCAGAAAACAACAAUCAUUAACUUGAAGGGUAUUUCAAGAAAAACUUCAAUUUUUUGCAAAAACAUCAUAUACCAAGUGCAAUUGUGUUGGUCAAUGUUUUAUGUAUGGUCAGCAACCCCGGACCCAACACGUGUAUGAUGGUGUGAUACUUAAAUCGGUAAAAUGGUGGAUUUCACAUUCAGCCUAUUUAUUAAUAUUGUGUAGACUUUUCCAAGGUCCAAUGAUUUAUUCAACAUAACCGACUUCCUGAUGCUUUUUAAGAUUAUGCACAACAUCCAGCUGAAGAAGUUGAUGAAUAAAUACAUACACACACACACAAAACUCCAUUAUCACAUGGUUUUUGUGGGUUUUCAUUCGUGUAGGUCAACAACUUGAAAUUGUUGGAUGACAUGGCAGAACUGAGUUCAACCAACUGAGUUACAUGAUUAUAUAACAGAGCAUAUGAUGGGUGGGGUAUAAAUGAUAAAUUUAUGUAUUUUUUCAAUCAUUGAUGCUCAGUUACAUGUGUGUGUGUGGUUGGUUUUAAUUCUUUAAUCCUCUUGGUGUUCGACAAAGGUUAAGGUUGUGGAAUAUUGUUUCAUUUUUUUUAAAAAUAGAAUUGAGUUUUCAUUUUCAGUUUUCAAUAAAAAUUUUAGAAAACGCAUUUGGUUGAAACCGAUGGAGUUUUCAUCCUCCAUUUUAGAAAUUUAGAAAACUGUAAAGUUCACUUUUCUAAUUUACAUAUAUAAUUUGACAAACUAAAAGUUUUCACUUUUUUUUUUGAGAUCUUUUGAAAACUGGAUCAACCAAAGGUGUUUUCAAGAAAUUUCAUUUUCAUCUGAAUUUUCGACAACCAAACACACCUUAACCAUCUCUUUGUCAACACCAAAUUUCCCUCAGAAUUAACAAUUUCCUUUGAUUUCAAGUGGUCAUCAAACCUUCUUUCAGCGAAGCCUCCCUUCUAUUUGAAAUGUUUUGUUACCUGUUUUCCUGCAUUUUUGUCCACCACAUGUCCUCCCCCUCUUUUAUUUUGAAUUUUUUUAACUCAAUUUUAGAUUAUUUAGGGUUUCACUGUUUGGGUUGUAUUGAAUAUCAUGAAUCCUUGGAUUGCAUCAAGUUCCUGAUUACAUAUGGCCAUCUGGGAAAACCUAAUAGCAUCUCCAAAAUGAUAUUUGUUAUACUUUCCUUGAUAAUUAUCUUUCUGUUACAUAAACCUAAUUUCAUUCCUUGUUAUAUAUAGUAGCAGUUGACAAAUUAGUCGCUUAUGAUGCUUUAAUGCUUUUGUGCUUCACUGACUUACUAGAGGGUGGUGAUUGUUUAAUGGAAGACUUAUACGAAUGAAAAAUCUAUCUGCAUGUGGGAUCGUAACAUAGUCAACCCCAACAACAAGGCUGCUACUGCCUUAAGGUAUUUCAAGAAGAACAUUUUCGAAUGGGCACUGGGAGGUUACAUAGCCUUUGAUGAAUUUGAGAAAACGUCAUAUGCCAAGUGCAAUUAAGUUGGUCCACAACUUGAAAUUGUUGAAUGACAUGGCAGAACUGAGUUCAACCUACUGAGUUACACGAUUAUAUAAUAGAGCAUAUGAUGGGUGGGAGCAAUGAAAAUAUGGUUAGAAAAUCAUCAGAAGACACAAAUGUAUUUUCAAGAUCCUCUUCAAAAGAACUUUGUCUUCAUGGGAGCUUUCAAGAUCUCUCUCUUGCGAAUGGAACUGAGAAGAUACUUGAUACAGUUACUACUUUAGGUGUACAGGAAAGGAUGUGCUUAUUUUCUUAAAAAGAUUAUGAAUAUUGCAUGGAAAAGUCCUUCAGCACUUAUUUAGUAUGCUUGGAAGGGAAAUGCCACAUGGUGUGGUAUUUGGUGGGUUGAAAUGUUAGAAACAAGUGGUGAAUAUAAAGAGGGUGCUGGUGUUGUUUAAGGAACAUCUUUGUUCAACUGUGAUGCUUGAACAAGGAUCUUAUUGCUGUUACCUUUUAGCCAAACCAAUUAUAUUAAGAAAGAAAAGCUGGAGAAAAAGCUAAAUGACCAUAUACGGUGCCAAGGUAAAUAACCAAACCCUACGUUUGUAUGUUGUAGUUGAAUGUUAUUUAGAUGCUAAGCUAUAAAAUCUUAUAUUAAAAUAUUAUACUUUCAUAAUCUAACCUAUGAUAUGAAGACAUUGUAAUUUUAUUAUUUUUCCUAUUAGGUCACUGUACUUUGAAAAACUAAACAUGUUUGGUUUUGGAUACCAUUUAUAGCAUUAUAAAUUCAAAGUUUUUAUUGUGAAGAUAGUUUACUAUCAAAAUCUAACCAAUUGCCUGCAAAAUUAUACUCCAAAUCGUAAAAUUAUAGUUUCAAAAUCCACCCUUUUAAGACAAUGUAUUUUUAAUACAUUCUACUUUAGAAUCUAAACUUGUUUAACCAUGGUUACCAAUUAUAACAUUAUACUUUAUAUUUAUUUUAUUUUUCAUAUUAAGACACCAUAGCUAUUCAUUAACAAUCAAUUUUUUAGUUUUUAACAGGCUUGGAGUAAUUAUAGUUCUCGUGUGUUAGUGAGUAAUAAAUACACCGUCAAUUCAAAUUAUUCAUUUCUCUUAUUGGAAGUUGUAUCUUUCCACAGAAUUGAAUCUCACUCAAUAAAAUGUUUAAGUGAAUGAAACUUCAUUGAUUUAAAUUUAGUCAUGUAAUGUUUUCUGUGUUGAUAUUCAUAUUAAAAAUAUUAAUUCGUUUUGAAUAAUGGCAACAAGAGAGGCAGAGAUGAAUCAUCAGAUGAUGCAACAAGUUUCUUUGGAUAUCACCAAAUUGGUUAUGAUAACAACAAGCCUCAAAACAUAUGUUAAAUUUUGAAGGGAAAUUGUGGGAAAUAACAAAUAAGGGUGUUGUUAUCAUUGAAUCUCAAAUAAGGUUAAUUAUGCCUUCAUGUUAGGAAAUUACCAUCUUCUAUCCACUGAUUACUAGCUGACAAAGCAUGGAAGCGAUAUGCAGGUAGCUACGAGUCUAUGACCCUGUUUGUGUAUUUCCAGAAAUACCCCUCAUUUUCCUAAAACAUGUGCUUAUUUAUUACUUCGGGAAAUGGUGUGGUUUGUGGUGGGUUGAAAUGUUAAAAACAAGUGGGUGAUGUAAAGAGUGGACAACUAGGGUAUUUCGAGAAAAACUUCAAUUUUUUAGUUGAAGUUCUCUACUACUUUUGUCACUGUGAAAUCCAAUCAAUACCGAUGAAAUGCUUAAGAGCUUGGUCAGGCUGAGAUGAUUAUGUAUGAUAAAAGCAGGACUUUAACUUGUAACCAAAUGGAGUUCAAGAAAUGCUAAAGCAGCUAUUGCUAUCUCUGUAUCAGAAAUUACACAGAUGGAUUCGUUGAACUUACCUAAUUUUCCCUUAUACAUUUUCAUAUCUUUUUAUCAUUCUAAUGUUCUGAUUUGUUAAAUGUGCAGACACCUGAGAUUCUUCAUUUGUUAAAGCAGAUCAAGGAGAAGCUGAAAGAAGUUUGAUCAAAUGGUAAAUUCUUUUGGUAGCAAUAUUUAACAAUUUUAAACAGUACAAAAUGCAAUUUUAUAAUUUAAACUAAGACAAAUAUAUUACAUACUACCUCCGUUCCAAAUUAAUUUUCCACAUUUGACUUUUGAAGUCAUUAUUCUUCAACUUUGACCUCAAAUGAUAAUACUUGAUGCAAAAUAUAUGGAUGGAUUGUAUUUUAAAUUUCUUUUCAUUGUUAUAAGUUUUAUCAAGUAACACAAUUAAAAAUAUUUAAAGUCAAAGUUGAAGAAAAAAGACUUCAAAGUCAAAAGUGGACAAUUAAUUUGGGAGUAUAUUAAAAUGGAAAAAAUACCAUAGGAACGAAAUUCGUUUUAUUCCGUUUUUUUUAAAUUGCAAAGAAAAUAUGAAUUCUGUCGGAUUGAUUCAUUAGUUUUUAGUCCGCCUUUUUCCUCUAUGGAUUUCCAUCAAGGUUCUUGAAUCUUUACUUUUAAGUCCAACUGAAUUUUGGAAAAAAAAAGAAGCUUAUAUCAGAUUGUGUAUUGUUCCUGAUAUGAGGCACAUAACUUUUUUUUUCUCAAGAAGUGUUGCAGUGAUAAUGUGCUGCCUAGAUUAAAAUGUCUUAUAUUUUCUGGAUUUGUGUCUUAUCAUCUGGUAUGUUGUUGUUGGACUUUAGCAGCACCAAUAGAAACUUUACACCAAAAUAGAAACAGGGACAUGAAAGCAACUUUACAGGGGACAAAAGUUAGAAGGGCAAAACUGGAAAAAACUAUGCAGUUUUUGGUAACCUAAACAGGGACAGAGCAUACCAAAGCUUUUUGAGGCUUUUCUUAUUGAACUUCAUAACAGAGAAAAGUGACAUAUCAGUCACGUACAUAGCAGGUCUAUUUAAAACAAAAACUUACAUAAAAAUAGAGGACUUUCAAACACUAGUUUGAUUUAUUCCACAUUAAAAUAAAACACGUGAGCAGCAGCCUCUGAAUUAGCUCUCAAUAGUUGUUACAUUCUUUUGUGCUAUAAUUAGAUAUUGUUUAUUUGUUCUUAUAAUCUCUGAGGUUUUCAUGUUUUGCAUUUGUGUAUUCCACAAGGCAAAAUAUAUUUAUGAUUUUUUAAAAUGUGAUAUACUACUCUUUACUUCUAUAGUCAGGUUGCUGGUUUAGGUCCAAGAGCUAGGGAAUCUUUUUGCAAAUUUGGUCCUUAUUUCAUGGUUUCUCAAUCGCUUUUUGUACCUGGGUCAUCACCUAGAUGUUAAACAACAUGUCCUUAUCUUCGUCUCUUUCUUUUCCAUUUUCAAGGAGCAUGAUGAAAUUUCAACAAAAUUUCUCUCUUUCCGAAUAUGUUGAAGGAGCAUAGCUGAACACUAAAUCCUUAAAAAUAGUGUCUUUUUGAAAAUAUGGUACUCUCAUUUCAUUGUUUGAUAAUAUUAUGUUUGGUCUCUUGUUCUCAACUUUAGCAGUCCGUAUGUUAAAUUUAUGAUAAUGACCAUUUUGCCAAUGUUCAGGUAUCAUAACUUACCCCCAACAAAAUUCAUCACCUUUCUUAAAAAUUCUGUCAUACGUUUAAGGAGUAUAAUUAUAUCCUAAUAAUCCCAAAAAGAUUCUUUAAAAGAAGAACAUUUUUUGAAAUUUUGGUACUCAUUUCAUGGUUCCAUAACGUUUUCCUUAAUGAGGAUUCAGACUGGUUAUUGCUAAUGUUGUGAUGCAGGAAACAAUGAGGAUUCAGACUUGUACUUAGAGCCAUCCAUCACCAAUAUA
Molecule: non-coding RNA, 7701 nt
Organism: Lactuca sativa (garden lettuce)
Lineage: Eukaryota; Viridiplantae; Streptophyta; Magnoliopsida; Asterales; Asteraceae
Source: RefSeq, a predicted model, not a curated record